RNAcentral lists this ribosomal RNA (397 nucleotides) under uncultured bacterium. Its description in RNAcentral is "partial 16S ribosomal RNA". It matches the Rfam family "Bacterial small subunit ribosomal RNA", at positions 338 to 732 of the family's 1533-position model. The record is from RNAcentral.
CCUACGGGUGGCAGCAGUGAGGAAUAUUGGUCAAUGGGCGAGAUCCUGAACCAGCCAAGCCGCGUGAAGGAAGACGGCCCUAUGGGUUGUAAACCUCUUUUAUCGGGGAACAAAACCCGGUACGUGUCCCGGUCUGCAUGUAUCCUAUGAAUAAGCAUCGGCUAACUCCGUGCCAGCAGCCGCGGUAAUACGGAGGAUCCGAGCGUUAUCCGGAUUUAUUGGGUUUAAAGGGUGCGUAGGCGGGCCGUUAAGUCAGGUGUGAAAGUUGGGGGCUCAACCGAAUUAGUGCAGUUGAUACUGGCAGACUUGAGUUGGAGAGAGGUACGCGGAAUGCGGGGUGUAGCGGUGAAAUGCAUAGAUAUCGCGAAGAACUCCGAUUGCGAAGGCAGCGUACUGG